CUUUCCCUCUGGCGGCAUGCUUUACACAUGCAAGUCGAACGGCAGCGCGGGCUUCGGCCUGGCGGCGAGUGGCGAACGGGUGAGUAAUGCAUCGGAACGUGCCCAGUAGUGGGGGAUAGCCCGGCGAAAGCCGGAUUAAUACCGCAUACGACCUGAGGGUGAAAGCGGGGGACCGAAAGGCCUCGCGCUAUUGGAGCGGCCGAUGUCGGAUUAGCUAGUUGGUGGGGUAAAGGCUUACCAAGGCGACGAUCCGUAGCUGGUCUGAGAGGACGACCAGCCACACUGGGACUGAGACACGGCCCAGACUCCUACGGGAGGCAGCAGUGGGGAAUUUUGGACAAUGGGGGCAACCCUGAUCCAGCCAGGCCGCGUGCGGGAAGAAGGCCUUCGGGUUGUAAACCGCUUUUGUUCGGGAAGAAAUCCUCUGGGCUAAUACCCCGGGGGGAUGACGGUACCGGAAGAAUAAGCACCGGCUAACUACGU
This 483-nucleotide ribosomal RNA is filed under the name uncultured bacterium. RNAcentral's name for it is "partial 16S ribosomal RNA". It matches the Rfam family "Bacterial small subunit ribosomal RNA", at positions 34 to 506 of the family's 1533-position model. The record is from RNAcentral.